Molecule: ribosomal RNA, 253 nt
Filed under: uncultured bacterium
Lineage: Bacteria
Description: partial 16S ribosomal RNA
Rfam family: Bacterial small subunit ribosomal RNA
Source: RNAcentral
UACAGGGGGGGCAAGCGUUGUUCGGAAUUACUGGGCGUAAAGGGCUCGUAGGUGGCCAACUAAGUCAGACGUGAAAUCCCUCAGCUUAACUGGGGAACUGCGUCUGAUACUGGAUGGCUUGAGUUUGGGAGGGGGAUGCGGAAUUCCAGGUGUAGCGGUGAAAUGCGUAGAUAUCUGGAGGAACACCGGUGGCGAAGGCGGCAUCCUGGACCAACACUGACGCUGAGGAGCGAAAGCCAGGGGAGCAAACGGG